Molecule: ribosomal RNA, 490 nt
Filed under: uncultured bacterium
Lineage: Bacteria
Description: partial 16S ribosomal RNA
Rfam family: Bacterial small subunit ribosomal RNA
Source: RNAcentral
AGUGAACGCUGGCGGUAGGCCUAACACAUGCAAGUCGAACGGCAGCACAGGAGAGCUUGCUCUCUAGGUGGCGAGUGGCGGACGGGUGAGGAAUACAUCGGAAUCUGCCCAGUCGUGGGGGAUAACGUAGGGAAACUUACGCUAAUACCGCAUACGACCUUCGGGUGAAAGAGGGGGAUCGCAAGUCCUCUCGCGAUUGGAUGAGCCGAUGUCGGAUUAGCUAGUUAGCGGGGUAAUGGCCCACCAAGGCGACGAUCCGUAGCUGGUCUGAGAGGAUGAUCAGCCACACUGGAACUGAGACACGGUCCAGACUCCUACGGGAGGCAGCAGUGGGGAAUAUUGGACAAUGGGCGCAAGCCUGAUCCAGCCAUACCGCGUGGGUGAAGAAGGCCUUCGGGUUGUAAAGCCCUUUUGUUGGGAAAGAAAUCUUUCAGGCUAAUACCCUGGGAGGAUGACGGUACCCAAAGAAUAAGCACCGGCUAACUUCGUG